AUUGAACGCUGGCGGCAGGCCUAACACAUGCAAGUCGAGCGGAUGAAGGGAGCUUGCUCCUGGAUUCAGCGGCGGACGGGUGAGUAAUGCCUAGGAAUCUGCCUGGUAGUGGGGGAUAACGUCCGGAAACGGGCGCUAAUACCGCAUACGUCCUGAGGGAGAAAGUGGGGGAUCUUCGGACCUCACGCUAUCAGAUGAGCCUAGGUCGGAUUAGCUAGUUGGUGGGGUAAAGGCCUACCAAGGCGACGAUCCGUAACUGGUCUGAGAGGAUGAUCAGGCACACUGGAGCUGAGACACGGUCCAGACUCCUACGGGGGGCAGCAGUGGGGAAUAUUGGACAAUGGGCGAAAGCCUGAUCCAGCCAUGCCGCGUGUGUGAAGAAGGUCUUCGGAUUGUAAAGCACUUUAAGUUGGGAGGAAGGGCAGUAAGUUAAUACCUUGCUGUUUUGACGUUACCAACAGAAUAAGCACCGGCUAACUUCGUG
This 484-nucleotide ribosomal RNA is filed under the name uncultured bacterium. Its description in RNAcentral is "partial 16S ribosomal RNA". It matches the Rfam family "Bacterial small subunit ribosomal RNA", at positions 30 to 507 of the family's 1533-position model. The record is from RNAcentral.